UUUUAAUAUUUGAUUAAUAAUCAUUUUGUACUGUGAAACCAGCAAUUUUAUAAAUAAAGUUUUGAAUUCAAAUAUGCUUUGUCUCACAGGAAACCGUGACGUUUUUGCAAUCGCUUCCCGUGCAUGAUAAUGACAAAACCAAAGGAAAAGCCAUGUCCUCACUGCCAAUCCAAAAACAACGCCAGCUGCAAAACCUGCAAAAAAUGUUUUGCUAGUUUAAUUCUCAAAAAAAAAAUUAAGGCAAAACAAAAAAAUAUAGAAGACAGUUCAUGGAGGUCCACCACCCAAAAACACCGCAAUGCUGCUCGUGUGGUGGAUUCUGCCCGCAUUGCUGUUAAGAAAUUGGAGGUACUAGGCUAUAAGCCGAUUUUGUUCUACUCAAGAGAGCAAAAAAAGGGAUUUACAGCCGAAGUGAUUACUUCAGUGGGUCCCUGUGCUGAGGGGCCACUUCGAAACAUAAUGGACAAAAUGACUGGCCUCUAUGAAUAUUUCAUUAAAAAUUAUCAAAGGCUUCAGAUCCACACUGCUGCUGAAUCGGAUCCUGAUGUUUGCCAGCCCCAGACUUCCUCUCCUCCUCCUCC
Long non-coding RNA from Paramisgurnus dabryanus, 581 nucleotides. RefSeq lists it as uncharacterized. The record is from RefSeq and is a predicted model, not a curated record. Lineage: Eukaryota; Metazoa; Chordata; Actinopteri; Cypriniformes; Cobitidae.